UCAAUGUGGGGGAUCACUUAGUCCUUAAAUCGAUGAAAAACAUAGUAAUUUGUGGAAAAUGAUGUGAGUUGUGAAAUUUUGUGAGCAUUGUGUUUUUGAAUGAAAAUUUCAGCAUGGAUGCAUGCGUGUCUAUG
This 134-nucleotide ribosomal RNA is filed under the name Dermanyssus gallinae. RNAcentral describes it as "5.8S ribosomal RNA". It matches the Rfam family "5.8S ribosomal RNA". From Rfam's summary of the family: 5.8S ribosomal RNA (5.8S rRNA) is a component of the large subunit of the eukaryotic ribosome. It is transcribed by RNA polymerase I as part of the 45S precursor that also contains 18S and 28S rRNA. Lineage: Eukaryota; Metazoa; Arthropoda; Arachnida; Mesostigmata; Dermanyssidae. The record is from RNAcentral.